RNAcentral lists this ribosomal RNA (385 nucleotides) under Pseudomonas brenneri. Its description in RNAcentral is "bacterial SSU rRNA". It matches the Rfam family "Bacterial small subunit ribosomal RNA", at positions 289 to 666 of the family's 1533-position model. Lineage: Bacteria; Pseudomonadati; Pseudomonadota; Gammaproteobacteria; Pseudomonadales; Pseudomonadaceae. The record is from RNAcentral.
GGUCUGAGAGGAUGAUCAGUCACACUGGAACUGAGACACGGUCCAGACUCCUACGGGAGGCAGCAGUGGGGAAUAUUGGACAAUGGGCGAAAGCCUGAUCCAGCCAUGCCGCGUGUGUGAAGAAGGUCUUCGGAUUGUAAAGCACUUUAAGUUGGGAGGAAGGGCAGUAAAUUAAUACUUUGCUGUUUUGACGUUACCGACAGAAUAAGCACCGGCUAACUCUGUGCCAGCAGCCGCGGUAAUACAGAGGGUGCAAGCGUUAAUCGGAAUUACUGGGCGUAAAGCGCGCGUAGGUGGUUCGUUAAGUUGGAUGUGAAAUCCCCGGGCUCAACCUGGGAACUGCAUUCAAAACUGACGAGCUAGAGUAUGGUAGAGGGUGGUGGAA